GUGGAUUAGAUACCCUGGUAGUCCACGCCCUAAACUAUGAUCACUCGUUGUUGGCGAUACACAGUCAGCGACUAAGGGAAACCAUUAAGUGAUCCACCUGGGGAGUACGACCGCAAGGUUGAAACUCAAAGGAAUUGACGGGGGCCCGCACAAGCGGAGGAGCAUGUGGUUUAAUUCGAUGAUACGCGAGGAACCUUACCUGGGCUUGAAAGUUAGUGACAUCCCGUGAAAGCGGGACUUCCGCAAGGACACGAAACUAGGUGCUGCACGGCCGUCGACAACU
RNAcentral lists this ribosomal RNA (283 nucleotides) under uncultured bacterium. RNAcentral describes it as "partial 16S ribosomal RNA". It matches the Rfam family "Bacterial small subunit ribosomal RNA", at positions 773 to 1060 of the family's 1533-position model. The record is from RNAcentral.